RNAcentral lists this long non-coding RNA (1139 nucleotides) under Nicotiana benthamiana. RNAcentral describes it as "long non-coding RNA (NBEN_LNC031303)". The record is from RNAcentral. Lineage: Eukaryota; Viridiplantae; Streptophyta; Magnoliopsida; Solanales; Solanaceae.
AAAGACACAAAAGCAAGUAAUGGUAAAAGCCUUAAAGAAAAUCAUCAGUAGAGUCGUCAUGCUGUCGACGCCCCUUCCCCGCCCCCCCUAAUAGGGCGAAAUCGGGUUUACGACGUUAUGGACAAAACUACUCUUAUUCUCUUUUGGGAAUUGGGUUAUGGAGUUUGAAGAGUCAUCACCUAAUGAUUAUAGUGAAUUACGACACUUUUAAGAAGAAGAAGAUUUUUAAUGAAAACCAGAGUUCGGGUAAUGGCUUGAAAUUAUCUCGAGAGAAAGGUGUUAGGAACCCCUCAAGAUCCAAAAGUGUGGUUCCCGGCCUUGCUUAGAUGUGACUUUAAGAAGCAUAGAAAUAGACAAGCAAAUGUGCAUUUAAGGAAUCCAAACUAAUGGACAAUUUUAAAAGAAGAAUAAUAUAAGUAAAAGAAAAUUUUUAGAGAAAGUACAUAAACAAAAAGUAAAGGUAAGGGGGUCCUAGAUUUCACUAUAAUAUGGAUCAUUCAAUACAAUAUCCCGCACAUACUCCCAAAGAGGGGUCGCUUUAAGAUAUUAUCGCAUCGUCAUCAUUUCCAUAUUCUACCCUUCCCCCCCGUAGAGUUUAUUUAAGCGUGUGAAUUGGUCACAGGGGCUUAUUGUGUGCUAUUACCCGUCCCGUCCUAUAGGUCCUAGAGGGUAUUUAGCACCACUAUUUCUAUAAGGUGAUGACUAGGUUGAACCCUUAGUUUUAAAGGUAAAAAAUACUAAGCGGCAUACAAAACAAGUAGGACUACACGUAAUGGAAUCAUAUAAAGGCAUAUAAAAGUCUCAAAUAUCCCUCCACGGAUAAAAACAUAAUUAGCACGUAUCAAUCACAUUUAAGGUCUACGAAAAGGGAGAAUUUUAAAAGUUGGAGUGUCGAAAAUAGGUUUAAAAUAGCAGAUGCAAAGUUUUAAACAGAAUUCGCAAAUAAAGAGUCGGACGAAAACUUUUGGGACUUUGAGAAAAGGCAGUGGAUGUGUAACAGUUUAGAAAUCGGAAGGAAGACAUUUUAAACACACUUGAAGAUACAUGCUAAGACACAACACAUAUGAUAAAAUAGUUUUCGGAUGGGAGAGGUAGAAAAUAGAUGCAAAAUUAUUCAGAAGUGUAAAAGAGCGUGUGAG